GACGAACGCUGGCGGCGUGCUUAACACAUGCAAGUCGAACGGAAAGGCCCUGCUUGCCGGGUACUCGAGUGGCGAACGGGUGAGUAACACGUGGGUGAUCUGCCCUGCACUUCGGGAUAAGCCUGGGAAACUGGGUCUAAUACCGGAUAGGAGCCAUUUUUAGUGUGAUGGUUGGAAAGUUUUUUCGGUGUAGGAUGAGCUCGCGGCCUAUCAGCUUGUUGGUGGGGUAAUGGCCUACCAAGGCGGCGACGGGUAGCCGGCCUGAGAGGGUGGACGGCCACAAUGGGACUGAGAUACGGCCCAGACUCCUACGGGAGGCAGCAGUGGGGAAUAUUGCACAAUGGGCGCAAGCCUGAUGCAGCGACGCCGCGGGGGGGAUGACGGCCUUCGGGUUGUAAACUCCUUUCGCUAGGGACGAAGCUUUUUGUGACGGUACCUAGAGAAGAAGCACCGGCUAACUACGUG
This 465-nucleotide ribosomal RNA is filed under the name uncultured bacterium. Its description in RNAcentral is "partial 16S ribosomal RNA". It matches the Rfam family "Bacterial small subunit ribosomal RNA", at positions 28 to 507 of the family's 1533-position model. The record is from RNAcentral.